UACAGAGGUCUCAAGCGUUGUUCGGAUUCAUUGGGCGUAAAGGGUGCGUAGGUGGCGCCGUAAGUCAGGUGUGAAAUUUCGGAGCUUAACUCCGAAACUGCAUUUGAUACUGCGGUGCUUGAGGACUGGAGAGGAGACUGGAAUUUACGGUGUAGCAGUGAAAUGCGUAGAGAUCAUGAGGAAGACCAGUGGCGAAGGCGGGUCUCUGGACAGUUCCUGACACUGAGGCACGAAGGCCAGGGGAGCAAACAGG
RNAcentral lists this ribosomal RNA (253 nucleotides) under uncultured bacterium. Its description in RNAcentral is "partial 16S ribosomal RNA". It matches the Rfam family "Bacterial small subunit ribosomal RNA", at positions 524 to 776 of the family's 1533-position model. The record is from RNAcentral.